AUUUUGAUGCUGCAGCCUGGGUAACUGUGUCACAGAGUUACCAAGUUGAAGACUUGCUAAAGAGGAUUGCAAGAGAGUUUGGCAUCAUAACUGAUGCCACCAACAUGGAAAUUAGAACCUUGGUUGAGAUCAUCCGGAAACAUCUUGAAGGUAAAAGGUAUAUCUUGGUUCUAGAUGAUGUUUGGGAAAAGGAUGUAUGGAUUAACAAUAUCAUGGAAGUCUUUCCAACUAAUUGUACCAGCCGAUUUGUUCUCACAUCAAGAAAGUUUGAUGUUGCAUCAUUGGCAGCUAGUAAUUGCAGAAUUGAGCUGAAACCUCUAGGAGAUCAGCACUCUUGGGAGUUAUUCUGCAAAGCAGCUUUUCGGAAUAGUGAUGACAAAAGGUGCCCGUCAGAGUUACAGGAUUUGGCUGCAAAGUUCUUACAAAAGUGUGAAGGCUUGCCUAUUGCCAUUGCAUGCAUAGGCCGUCUAUUGUCUUUCAAACAACCAACACAUUCUGACUGGGAUAGUGUGUACAAGGAGUUAGAAUUGCAGUCCACUAAUAAUGUGAUCCAAGGUGUCGACAGUAUCCUAAGAGUAAGCUUGGAGGACCUUCCAUAUGAACUAAAGAAUUGCUUCUUACAUUGUGCAAUGUUUCCAGAGGAUUAUGAAUUGAAGAGGCGAAGAUUAAUUAGGCACUGGAUUACUUCUGGAUUCAUCAAAGAAAAGGAGAAUAAAACACUAGAACAAGUGGCAGAGGGAUACUUGAAUGAUCUUGUAAAUCGAAGCUUACUACAAGUUGUGUUGAAGAAUGCAGCUGAACGAGUGCAGUGUUGCCGAAUGCAUGAUGUUAUCCGCCAUCUUGCCCUUGGCAAAGCAGCAACAGAAUGUUUCGGUAAAGUUUAUGAGGGCCGUGGGACAUUUUCGGUAGAUGGAACACGUAGACUGUCAAUAAAUAGCACCAGUAUUGUGUCAUUGAAUCCAUCUGGUGUGACACAUCUCCGUGGAAUCUAUGUUUUUACUAGUUCUGUUGAUAUUGAUUUGCUGAGACCUAUCCUUGCAUCCGUAACAUUGUUGUCAACAUUAGAUCUGCAAGGUACUGAAAUCAAGAUCCUUCCUAAUGAGGUCUUCAGCUUGUUUAAUCUGCGUUUCUUGGGUUUUCGAAAUACUCAAAUUGAGGUUCUACCAGAAGCCAUUGGAAGAUUGCAAAACUUAGAAGUAUUGGAUGCUUUAGACACUUGCCUACUAUCUUUACCAAAGGAUGUGGCAAAAUUGAAGAAGCUUAGGUACAUAUAUGCAUCGGCAAGCGUCAAUGAAGGAUCUCUUUGGCGUUACCGAGGAGUAAAGGUGCCUAGGGGCAUAAUAAAGAACCUGCCAGGACUGCAUGCUCUGCAAAAGGUUAAAGCUAGCUCAGAAAUUCUAUCUGAUGUUACAGCUUUGACAGAUUUACGAACAUUUGCCGUUGAUGAUCUGACCAGUGAGCACGCGUUAAUCUUACGUAGUGCGCUCAUGAACAUGAGGAAUCUUGUGCAUUUGACAAUUACUAUGUCAAAUGAAAAUGAAGUCCUACCAUUGGAACAACUUAGUUUACCAGAGACUCUUUCUAAACUUGAAUUGAUAGGGCAGCUGGAAAAGAAACGGAUGCCUGAUCAGAUUCUCUCUUCCUGGUUGCACCUGAACUAUCUCACUCAUCUAUGGUUGAUGUUCUCCAAACUUGAUGAGAACUCAUUUCCUAGCCUCCUAGUGUUGCAUAAUUUAUGCUCACUUUACCUUUUUAAGGCUUACGAUGGAAAGACAUUAUGCUUCUCUUCGCGGUCAUUUCCUAGACUGAGAAAACUACAAAUAGAGGUUGCUCCUCAGCUCAGCCAAGUAGAAAUAGAAGAAGAUGCACUGGGAAGCGUCGUUGAGCUAUGGUUUUCAUUGUGCCCAGAACUGAAGCAGCUCCCUCAUGGCAUUGAGUACCUUAGGACGCUUGAUGAAUUAUAUUUUGAACGUGCUUCUGAUGAGCUUAUAAAGAUCCUUAGGCAGGAAGGUGAAGCAAAAGAAUGCAAGGAAGAGCUAAUGAAGAUUAGCCACAUUAGAAGGGUUCGUUUUAGUGCAACUGGGGAAGACUUUUGGCAAAGAAUUGUAACCAGAGAAGGGAAUGCAUUCGCUGGCUGAAGGCUUGCAUCCAAGCUACUAUUUCCGGAGUACGAGGUAUGGGUUUUAUGCUGCUUCUUGUUGUUGGACAGGCGAGAACACACUGCCAUUCCUAAUUAAAUGUCUCGUGGAUAGCAUUUUCUCAGGUUUGCUGCUGCCUUUGUUGGUCUGGUUUGGACUUUUGGUGGUUCAGUUUAGUCGGUGUAUUGUGGUCUGCCCAUCAGCACCGGAAGUGCCUGGAUUCUGUAUUGGUGCAGAUUGCAUAAUAGAGUGUCAAUUCGAAUUUAUAAAUCGGCUUGCGAAUUAAGCAUAAACACUGUUGUGAUUCUAUUUGCUCCUUCAUGUCGUUUGUCUUAUGAUAUUGGCUUGAUGUCCUCUAUGGAUGAGGCAUCUCCCAGGUUUGUAAUAAGCUUGUCAGACGCUUUACUUCUCGUUUUGCACAGCAUAACUUUUUUGUCUGUCGAUGCUUUUUCUGUUGGGUGUGGAACCAAAACUUUAAGUUCCAGACAGCAGUAUGUUUAUGAAUAAUUUGAUCGAAUCAAUGAAAUAUAAUGCGUGUGAUUAGCCUAAGAUUAUGCCUAUCGCAUUACAGUUUUGGUUGGUUUAUUUGAAGGGUAAUAGAAUUCAAUGGCCGAAUUAGUAUUGUUAGGUGGGCCCUGUUCAGAAAUUGGCAAUUGUUAUGUUCUUUUUAGUUGGUAAUAAAGUGAGUAUAUGGCUUCUUUUCUAGGGAGCACACCCUGCCGUUAGUUACUUAUUAAUAUACAAGAAUAUGUUGUACACUUGUACUAAAGCAAAGCAAUUUAACCAAGAUAGAGCAGGAUAUCUACGUGCCGCCGCCGAUCGACGCCAUCGCGGCCCGGGAACGGCUGUGGGCCGCCCGACCACUCCCACAGCCGGUGGGUCCCAUCGGCCUCCGACGUCCGUGCCGGACCCGGACCAGCCCACCGCACGUACGUCACCACGCAGGCGUGCCCCUCGACGCCCACGCCUGCGCCGGUCGGCAGAUCAGAGCUCGGUCGCCUUUCCGGCACCGUCGGCCACCAGACGACAACCUGCUGCACCGGCACCCUUCUCGCUUCGUCGGGGGUUCGCCGAGGUUUGCGGCGCGGACAGAAGCACCAUGGCAGCGAGUCGUCCAAAUCUCAGACGCCAAUGGAGGAUGCCUCAUGUGUCGAUAGCACCUUCGACUCGGAACGCGCUGCGACGCAUUACGGCAAAGGAGCAUCAUGCCAUCGAUCUAGAAUAUAGUAAGAGAUUGAUGGGGUUGCCGUUGAGGGCGAAGAUUCAUCCUUCUCCCCCAAAGAAGCUGCAGGCACCAUGGAAACGUAUCUGAAAGGGACCAUUACCUCCGCGUCGUAUCACUCCGGCAGCGACCCUCGGAGAUUUCAUCUCGCCGGCUUUUCUGCCCGGAGUAUAAGGUGGUCGCGGUGCAUGACGACUUCACGAUGGCGGCGAUCCGCUUUCUACGGAGUUUCAAAAUUCGAACCCCCGAUCCACCGGAAAUUUGCAUGGGCCGGUCCAACUCAACAGAACCGUGGCCCAUCCUGACCGGCCUGGGAGCCAUCUGAUUGACUUCGGGACUGCAUCAACAAUUCGAAGACCUAAUCGACGCCUCAUCAAUCCAUCUCUCUUCCUUGCCACAACGUCGCUGCGCCGCUCGUACCGGGAGGUGUUGAUGGCAGGAGGAGACCGUGGAAAAGGUCCCCGUAAUCGGCGGGCCCCAGGAGAUGGAGCACCGGCAGAUCGCCGACAUGGUAGGGGUGGUGAAUUGCCCGCUGAUGCUGGUGGACGGGAUGACAGCCAAGGUCGCGGUCGUGGUCGUGGAGGGCCGAUAUCUGCUGCUCGAGGAGGAUCUGUGCACCCUACCGGAGGGCAGAUCUCUGCUGCUCGUGGAGGUUCCACGCAGGCUGCUGCUCGUGGUGGUUCAGCGCAGGCUGCUGCACCUGGUGCUCUCGCCCGGAACCGGGGCCGUGUGCUCCCCAAUGCAAACAGGCCACGAUCGACGGAGCAACAGAGGCGGCAAACGAACGCUUUGCUGUCCCAAACGCUCAUGGAGAUGGGGGAGGACAGCGCCCUCGGAGUAUUGUCGAUGAUGAACAAGGCAAGCAAAAAAGGAAGCGAAAGGAACAGUCUGUGAAGCUGGAUUGUACAAUCUGUACUGAGGAACACUACACGAACCAGUGCCCGUUGCUUCGGGGUCCCAAACCUACGGUAGCAUACUGUGGCGCAGCAGAGGAUGGGCUGGGUUUCUUCCAGAUACAGACUGCAAGAAAUAAUCAGAUCGUCAAACCUAUCCAGUCGUCUGUCGCAGCGCUCAUAAUGGUGGAAGCAGGUGAGGUAUCUGCUCAGCUGCUACAGACCGAGCUAGCCAAGAUCAUUCCAGUCCAUUGGGCUUGGGAGGUGCAACAACAAGGUCCUGAUUCUUUUAUUGUUCCUUUCCUGUCUAUGGAUGAGCUAGAAUGUAUGGUUGCAAUUCGCACGAUUACCACGAAGAACAAAGAGGGCAUUAAUAUAUUUGAAGAGUUCACCGAUGAUGUCCAACCCAUAAAAGUAUUAGAGCAAGUGUGGGUCACAGUCACUAGGGUCCUCGGGCACUUUGCUCUUUUCUUCCCCUAUGGGCUGUGGGGUCUAUUAUUGGGGCCACACAAAAGGUGGACAUGAUACACCUUUGGGCGACAGGUCAGGUCCAUAUUCUGGCGGCGGUUCUCGAUGUUGCAAAAAUUCCAAAACAGGCCGAUGUUUGUGCAGGAAGCAGUGUGUACCGACUCUAUUUCAAACCUGAGGAAGCUGUACAUAUUGAUGCCUUCGAUCCAGAGGAUGAUGACUUGUUAGGAGAUGGUGAUAAUCCUUAGGGGGGUGACAGCGAGAUGAAAGAAGCGGAGGAUCCGAAUCCAAAUCCUCCAAACAAUAGCACCACUGCCCAGAUUUCUCAAACACCUACUCAGAACUUACCCCCUCAAAAGCAAGCUUCUCUUAUACAGGAAGGAAUUGAUCUGGCUGUUGAACAACUGCUAAAGGAGAUCAGUGUAAAAGUCAUGACAGAAGUGGAUGACGGGGAUAAAAGGAAGCAUUACUCUCCUCCAACAGAAGAAGAAUUGAUUGCAUAUAAUUCUAUGGUGGAAUCUACUAACAAAUUUCACCAGUCUUCUGUCUCUCUGUCAUCAUCUUUGGAGACUUCGACCGGUGAUGAUAGCCACGAACCCAGCACAGUGAUCGAGGCUGGUGUAUCGCAGGCCAACUUGGGGGGCUCUACAUCGCCCAUUGCCCCCCAGGAUGCGCUGACAGCUCUGUCCCAGGCUCCGUUACAGACUGAGCUAGGAGAGCCUUCAUCGCCUACUGUCCAUCCGACUGGGUGCAAACUCCACCAGGCUGGUAUACAAACACUGCUCACUACCUCGCCACCAAGUCUGAGUGCCACUACACUGCUGUGCACACCCCCUGCCUUGCCCACACCGGAAGCAGGGGACGCGUAGCAAUGUGUCGCGCCUGCUACUGUCUAGGGAGCCGUAGGCGCAAGGCACAUGUCACCUUUUUCUUCAGAGGUGGGUGGGGGUGGCUCUACAGUGACAGCAGUCCUUCCCGCCACUCCUCAGGACCCCACGCCGGCACAGGAGGCGAUCUGGCCAGCCCUCAUUUCCGAGGGGGAAAUAGUGGGUGGUGGGGAAGGCUCUUCAUCAGCACUGGCCCUCCCUGCCGCUCCUCAGGACACCACGAAGGCAGAGGUGGGGGACAAGCUACCUCUCAUUGAUGAGAGCAAUUUUUCCAGGCAUACAACCACCAAAGAGCACAUCAGAGAGCUGCGCCGAAUUGCGAGAAAUGCUGCGACGGCUGAUGUUCACACCCUGCACAAAGUCGAAAGGGUGGCAGCGAAAAAGAAUGUCGAAGCAGGUAUUUCCUUUUCUAGCUUUCCAGAUUCAAAAAUUAUUUUCAACCUUGGUAGGGUAGGCAUCAACCUAGGCACCUCUGACAUAGCAGUCAUUAAAAAUAUAGAGGUAGAUAGGUUGAUCCUCUGUGCCAAUCAAAAAAAAGAAAAAUAUAUCAAAAUCCAAUUACCCUAUUUUAGACAGUGAUGAUGAGCGGGAAGAUCGACUAGAAGCAAUUCUCAGCCACACUAGUGGUAAUCUAAAUGAGAAUAUGCUGGACUAGGAGGAUGAUCAAAUUUUAGAUCUCUCUCCUCUCCGUCGGAAGAAAAAAUAUAAUAAUGCCAAAAAUACCAACAAAGGCAGACUUCCCAAAAAGCCAAAGACCCCAUCAAAAAUUAUUCUAAGAUGAAAGGGGUUUUCUGGAAUAGCAGAGGUCUUGUAGACUUGGCUAAACACGAGUUUCUGGCGGAUUUAGUUAAGGAGGAGCAAAUUCAUUUUAUCGCUCUCUCUGAGAUUGGGAGAGAUUUCUUCCCAGAUCAUGUCCUCAAAAAUCUUUGCGGAGGACAUGAUUUUCUUUGGCAUACCAUGGCACCCCACUGUAGAUCCAGGGAAUCCUGCUUGGUGUGGACUUGAAUGUAUUUGACAUUAGAGCCAUUGAUGAGGGAGAUUUUUAUGUAAAAUUCACCCUACGACUCAAGUCGAAUGACUUUAAAUUUGUGUUGGACACGGUAUAUGGACCAGCACAACUCCAAUAUAAGAGUGCUUUUCUAGUAGAACUCACCAACACGUGCUCCAAAGAAACCUUGCCAUUUAUAAUAGGAGGGGAUUUCAACAUAAUGCGAAGACCAGAAGAUAAGAGUUCUAGGGACUCCGAUCCUAAAUGGCCUAAUCUUUUUAAUGCUGUCAUAGAAUCUCUGGAUCUCAAGGAGAUUGCUAUGAUAGGUCGCCAAUUCACUUGGGCUGGGCCAUCCAACACUUGAAAUGUUAGAUAGAGUUCUCGUUAGCACUGAAUGGGAAAUCAUGUUCCCCUUGACAACAGUACAAACUAGGGAUGGGAAUAUUUCAGACCACACUCCCCUUGUACUAAAUACAGGUGUCGACCCACCAAACACACAACCGUCCUUUCAAAUUUGAGAGGGGAUGGUUGAUAAGAGAUGGAUUCUAUGAUAUGGUGGCAAACAUCUGGCAAUAUCCAUGCUCUGGAUCCACCCCCCUUGAACGUUGGCAGUUCAAGAUCCGCAGGCUACAACAGUAUCUAAGGGGUUGGGCAAAACACAAUGCAAGGUCAUAUCGAAAAGAAAAAAGACUCUGCUAGCCCUUUUAGAUAAUCUAGAUAAAAAGGCAGAGAACUCUCCCUUAUAUGAUCAAGAGAUUAAUCUUAAGCAUUAUCUAAAGGAACGCUUAGUUAACCUUCUCAGGGAAGAAGAAUUAAAAUGGUAUGAGAGAGCGAAGGUCAAAACCCUUUUAGAAGGGGAUGCUAACACUAGGUUUUUUCAUCUAGUUGCCAAUGGGAAAUAUCAUAAGCAACAUAUCUACAAACUUGAAAAUGAUCAAGGUAUUGUGAUCAGCGCUGAGCAACUUAAAAGUCACAUUACGACUUAUUAUAAAGACCUAUUUGGCUAGCCAGAAGAUUGCGAUAUGUCCCUUAGGGAAGACCAAAACUUGGAUAUCCCACAAGUUUCACUGGAAGAAAACGAUAUCCUCGUCAGCCCUUUCUCAGAAUCUGAAGUGAGGGAGGCAUUCGUCCAAAUGGAGCAUAAUAAAGCUCUAGGCCCUGAUGGUUUUCCUACGGAAUUCUACUAGGUGUUUUGGGGAGUCAUCAAGGAUGAUCUUCUACCCCUAUUUACUGAGCUGCAUAGUGAAGCUCUGGAACUCUAUAGCCUGAAUUUUGGUAUUAUUACCUUAAUUCCAAAAGUGAGUAAUGCCAUAAAAAUUCAGCAGUAUAGGCCAAUUUGUGUUCUUAAUGUGAGCUUUAAACUAUUCACUAAAGUGGGCACAAAUAGGGUUAAUAUGGUAGCUAAAAUUGUGGUCAGGCCAACGCAGACUGCCUUUAUGUCGGGUAGGAACAUUAUGGAAGGAGUCAUUAUCUUACAUGAAACCAUCCAUGAGCUUCACACCAAAUAGAGAGACGGUGUCAUUUUAAAAAUUGACUUUGAAAAGGCAUACCACAAGGUGAGGUGGUCCUUCCUACAACAAACGUUGCGAAUGAAAGGUUUCUCCCCCAAAUGGUGUCGGUGGGUUCAAACUUUAGUCUCUGGAGGAAGCGUGGGAAUCAAAGUCAAUGAUGACAUAGGACCAUACUUCCAAACCAAACGGAGACUGAGACAGAGAGACCCCAUGUCACCAAUCUUAUUCAACAUCAUUUGUGAUAUGCUAGCCCUGCUUAUUAAUAGAGCAAAGGCCGAUGGCCAGAUAAGAGGUGUCGUUCCUGACCUUAUAGAUGAUGGUCUGUCCAUAUUACAAUAUGCAGAUGACGCCAUUAUCUUUAUUGAUCAUGACCCAGAACAAGCACAGAAUCUAAAAUUGUUGCUUUGCACUUUUGAAUAGCUAUAUGGCCUGAAGAUCAACUUCCACAAGAGCAAAAUCUUCUGUUAUGGUGCAGCUAAAGAGAUGGAAUCAUAUUAUACUAAUCUCUUUGGAUGCAACGCAGGGGAAUAUCCCUUCAGAUACUUAGGGAUCCCAAUGCAACAUAGACAACUCCGGAACUCUGAAUGGAGAAGGGUGGAAGAUCGCUUUCAACAGAAACUCUCUUGUUAGAAGGAAAAAUACCUGUCAUAUGGGGGAAGACUAGUUCUGCUAAAUUCUGUCUUAAGCAGCCUACCCAUGUUUAUGAUGUCCUUCUUUGAGAUCCCUAAGGGGGUCAUUAAAAACUUGGAUCAUUAUAGAUCAAGUUUCUUCUAGCAAGGCUCGUUAGACAAACAUAGAUAUCGACUUGACAAAUGGGAUAUACUUUGUCGUCCUAAGGACCAAGGGGGAUUAGGUAUCCUAAAUUUAGAAUUACAAAACAAAUGCCUUCUAGUCAAAUGGUUGGUUAACUUACUUAACAUAGAAGGUAUUUGGCAAUCUCUUUUAAGGAAUAAAUACCUAAGAUCCAAAACCCUAACUCAAGUGGCAGCUGUUGACGGUCCUUAAGUAUCAAAUUUAAUCAUCAAAUAAAUAAAGAAAAGGAUCCAAAUGCAACCAACACCCAGACUUAGGGUUUAGGGUUUAGGGUUUUAGGGUUAAGAAAAACUGUGCGAUUAAGGUCGGUUUGAUCCAACGACCCACGUUCAUUUGGAAGGGGUAUAUAAGCAGGCUCCUUCGCCCCUAGAGGAGGUAUUCUCAUUCUCAAACCCUAAUUCGUUCUUCAUCCAAGGAGGAGAGUCUCUGAUCAAGCCCUAGAGCCAACACAUCAACUAGAUUUCUAGUUUAGCAUAGCUACAUAGGAUUAGAACUAGGAGUCAAUAUUUGAUUGGUUUCUAGAUCUGUCAAGAGGAUUCUUGGUAAUUCCUCUACUGUUCUUCAUUUGUUCAUCAUUAUUUUUCAAUAUUAUGAAUAUGACUUUGUUCUAUUUCAAUAUAUUGACUAUGACUUUGCUCUACUUGUUUAUAUUUGCAAUUAUAUCAUGCUUAGUUUGUCGUGGUUAUAUACUUGGCUUAGUUAGAUUGGAUUUAUAUACAUGUUUAGGAUCCUAUAGAGUUUAUCCAUUGGGUCCAUGGGUAAAUGAUAAGUAUUGUGUAGGUGUCGUGCUUAUACCGUAUUUAUCUAUGAUUGUACCCUAUAUGCCGGAUCGCGGGGUAGUUCGCGGUGAUGACAGCUCUAUUGAUUCUUAUAUAGUCCCCCUCCCGUGUAUAGGGUAGGCAGAGCAACAGGGGAGUGAUUGCUAUGUUUCUCAUCUUCCUUGAUAAUAUCACUAUGCAUGGGCGUAGUCCUGUCUCACAAUGAUUGCCAAGUAUAAUUGCACUAACUAUGAUAUACUAGGCUUUAUAGUUAAGAAUAACUUAGGAAAUAUUCUUGUAGUUCAUCCUAGUUCCAUGCUAAUGACUUGCUAGAAUAUCUGUUGAGGUGCUUAUCAUUAUCAUAUGUGGCUUGUUAUGCUGAUCAGAUUAGUUAUCUUUAUCACCAUUCAUAUUUUAUCUACAUUUUAUAUGACACUUAUCCCUGUAUGUAAGAGAUAGAUGAAUGCUCUCUAUUACACAUGCAAUGAUACUCAGUUCUAUAUUUCAUUCCAUAAUCAACAUUGGUGUUAGUAAUCCCUUUCCAGUGGUAAAAAUAUAAUUAACGAUACUUGGAAUACUUCCCGGUUAAAAUGCUACAUCAGUAUUAAUUUGUGCGCUUGCAGAUCUCUUUUAUUAUUUAUUCAGAAGAGCAAUUGCAUAUUUCAAUACCGCAUCUCUCAUGUCAUGCUAGGGAUGACAACUUGGCUUAAGUGGCAUGAUGGAUAGGUCGGCAUUUUUUGUGCCGUUAUCAGAAAUAGAAAACCAAGUCUACUUUUGGUAAUGACGUUAAGAAUGCCCAACAAGCAUUUUUGGCGCUAUUGCCGGGAAAGGUUUAUUUACUAAUAAGGAAUGAAUACGGAAUACUGAGUCAUCAUUCGCAUCACUAAUAUGAUUGAGAUCAUCAAUUCUCUCAUACAGCUUUACCCCUGUAUUUUGCUAUUUUUUAUUAUUUUAUGCAGGGUGAUGUAUGAAUAGAAGACAUCUUUCAGAAAAUUUUGUGGACGAUCCCGAAGCAAUAAUCAGAAAAACAAGAGCCAUGCUCAAGAAGGUUUCAUCGUCAACACUUCAGUGCAAAACUUCAUCAAAUCAAGAAGAUCGCCGAAGUUUCAUUCGGAGCUUGUCAUCGGAGUUCGAAGCCAUGGCGAACAAGUCAAUCCGCGAGUUCUCAGCUCCCACCACGAACAACAUCCACACUGGACCUACUAUGGAGAUCGACCGGACCUUUGAGCUCAAGCCUGGGCUCAUCAACAUGGUGCAAGCCAAUCAGUUCUAUGGGAAGGCACACAAAGACGCUAGUGCUCAUCUCCAACACUUCCUGGAGAUUUGCAGCACAUUUCGCCUCUUCCCAUUCUCACUGUUGGGGAGAGCGAAGCUGUGGUUGUACGCAACAAAGAACAAGAAUUCUACGUGGGCACUAUGCUCCAUGAACUUUCUGGCCAAGUUCUUUCCCAUGGGCAAAACCAAUUCUCUCUGUGGAAAGAUUACAAGUUUUCAGCAACAAUAUGAUGAAUCCAUUCCAGAGGUAUGGGAGCGCUUCCAAGACUACAUCCUAGAAUGUCCCCAUCAUGGAAUGGAGAGCUGGCUGCUGAUGCAGAUGUUUUAUCAUGGGCUCAGCAAUAGCACCCGUGAAACCAUAGAUGCCUACAGCCGGAGAAGCAUUCCUGUCACUCACCAUACCACAAGCCACAGCCCUUGUGGAGAAGAUGGCGUCCAACCAAGGUUGGAACGAGGAGAGGACCUAGACACGCAAGAAAAGUGGAGGUAUGCACUAGCUCAAGGAGAUAGACAUGUUGUCUGCAAAGCUGGACCUGCUCAUGAAGAAGCUUGAUGAUAAAGCUGGAGACAAGAAAGAAGUCAUGCACAUCUACGACUCUCACAUGACUUGUGAGGAGUGUGGAGAUACUAGACACUCAGGCAAUCACUGCCCUGAGGUGCAUGAGGAUGUGAACUACAUCAACAACAAUAACUACUACUACUACUACAACCAUCCUCAACAAAAUCAAGGUUGGAAUCAACAAAGACCAACUACUCAAGUAACUACUCAGGUAACUAUCAAGGUAACAAUUCUUACAACAACAAUAAUAAUUUCCACCCCUGAGAGAGUUAGUGUCUAACCAAGAAAAGCAAAUGGAUAACCUAUCUAAGAAAUUGUCAUCUAAUGAUAAAAUGCUAGAAAAUAUAAAUAAUAGAAUGGAUAAUUUUUCUACUGCCAUCAAAAAUCAGAUUAGCUUCAACAAAAUGACUGAAUCUCAGUUGAAUCAAAUAGCUACUGCUAUUCCUGCUACUAACCCCGGUAUACCAUCACAACCGGAAGGAUUAGAAUCUGCAAAUCUUGUAGACAUGUUUGAUGCAGGUAACUAUUGGAGUAACCCCGUUGGAGAAGUACAUAAUGACCUUCUGCCAGUCAAGAGAGGCGAUCCAGGACGCCCCGUCAUCCCGAUCUUCAUCGGUAUGGUGGACUUCCUAGAAGCACUCUACGACUUUGGCUCCAGCGUCAAUAUUAUGCCCAGGGUACUCUACGAAAAAUUCUUUACAUGUCCUUUAUUAGAGACAACCAUGUGUUUGUAGCUUGCAGAUCGGACACUGAGCUUCCCAAAAGGAAUACUGAAGAAUAUCUGUGUCCGAGUUGGUACUUCGUACGUCCCAGCAGACUUCACGAUGAUAGAGACCGGUGCCGAUGAGAGGUCACCCAUCAUCCUGGGGAGGCCAUUCCUGAACACCUCGGAAGCUAUCAUCUACGCUAGUGCUGCGAAGAUCAACUUCAACCUCAAGAGGAGGAAGGAGACAUUUUCCUUCAAGAACAAGACUGCACAAAUCCCAGAGCAACCCCAAUAUGAACCAAGAAAGAGGACCAACAGGAGGAACAAGAACAAGAAGCAAGUGUAGACCGAAUCAGCUAAGAUGGUCACUGUAAUUCACAGAGGUCAAGAUCGUCGACUCAAGUCGCCUUUCCUGAUCGAGUGCACAAUCAACGGAUACUCUUUUUAGAAGACACUCUGUGACACCGGAUCUGGCGUCAACAUAAUGGCCACAGUCACCUAUCAGCUCCUCUAUGGAACCAUGCCCCUACAACCAACAUACAUUCAGCUCUAGAUGGCAGACCAGACAUUCUGAAAGGUCGAAGGUAUAGUAACUGAUGUCCCUGUCAAAAUAGACGACCAUUUUGUCCAUACAGAUUUUCAGGUCAUUGACAUGGGAGAAAACAAGUACGAUCCACCCAUCAUCCUUGAAAGACCGUUCCUCAACACUGUCAAAGCUAUCAUCUACAUUAGAACCGGAGAAGUCCACAUGCACUUCCCCUCUGAGAAGAUCAGGAUGAGAAGAAGGCGACGCAACCACAACUAGAGGAGACAAAUCAUCAAGGACAAAUGGGCAGACUACGAAGGAGAGGUAAUAAGGUCCGACGAUAAACAUUUUGAACAGGAUUGUCCUGAGGAGACCAUAGCACCAAAUCAGGUGUGGAAAGAGAAAAGAGUUGUAAUAGAAGAGGAGGCACCGCCGGAACCACCGUCUAUGCCAUCCAGCGAAUCCUAGGACGACUGAGAACACAAGGAGUCUCGUUCGGGGGACUUAAAAACACCGAACACUGUGCCAAGAGUUAAACUUGGUAGUUAUUCCUUUUUCCUUCAAUUAUUUAUUUUCCUUAAAUAGCUUGUUUAGUUAAUCAGGUUCAUACUAUCUUGAAAAGAAAAUAAAAAUGUUAACAAUAAGUAAGCCCCAUGUGAGUAUGCUCGUGGCAUAAAACCCAUAAGUACAUUCACUGUGGUGGCAUAAAAAUAAAAAUAUUUUUCCGUUCCAUAAAAAUGAAAAUAUAAAAAAUAAGAAUGUGAUCCUACCAAAGAGAGUAACAUUUAUUGAGGAGGCUCAACAUGACAAAGGCUAGAUAUUUAUGCUAACAAUUAACUAGUUCCACAAAGUUUUGUUGUCUAUUUGAGCUUCACAGAAUUCAAGGAUCAAGAAGACUAGCAGAUGGAGGACAUCCUAAUCGCUGUCAGGGCGCUGCCGACAGUCAAAUACACCUCUGCCACCUGCUAGCUGCAUCAAAGAAAAUUACGUCAAAAUCCAACUUGAAGGAGAGCACCCCCAUUUAUCCAGCUAAGUGUUUCUAUCUACGUUUAUACUUAUACUUUGUUAAAAUAAUAAAAAGAUACGUAAUCAUGAAAACUCAAAUAAAGAUUUUGUGCUUAUAUAUAUAUAUAUAUAUAUAUAUAUAUACUUUUGCUUAGUUUGCUAAAUAAAUAAAUAAAGUGGCUAUGCUAAAUUGAAUCUUAAUAAUAAACUUUAGCAUGGAUAUGAUGAAUAGUUGCUCUACCUAAUUUUCUAAAGCUCUCUCUCUCAAGUUUAGAUAUAACUGUUAUAAUUUAAAGCUUUCUCUAAACCUGAACUUGUGGGAAGAGAACUUGAUCUAAAGUCUAAGUCGUUAACGGAUAUGAUAUGGGAAGGUUGAGCUACUGUUUAUCUGUUCCUAGAGAUGCUAGAAUUUUGGAGAAUUUUAUCUUUGAAAAUCUUUAAAAUAUUGCAUGAUGAGUUCCUGCAUGAUGAGAGUUUAAAUUCCUACCACAGUCAUAUAUACAUGCUUAUUAAACUAAAAACCAUACAUUUACUUUUUACUGCCGAUGAGCAUUGAGUGUGGUCAAGCUGUGUAGACCCUUAGGAGCUUGUCAUGCAGUUAAAAUCAAGAUUCACUUGCACGUUCACUCAUACAUGCUACUUCUACUCCGGAAGUACGCAUCCACAUACAUCCACUCAUUUCUAUCUCCAAAUUCACCUAAAAUUAUUCUACUCCUAUCCAGGAGAGAAUAGCCAAAAACAUUAUCCUAUCCCUGUUAUUCCCCAUAAAAUAAAUGCUCGAUAUAUUUUGGUUACUACCACUUGGUAUACAUUAUUCUAGGAGGGUGAGUGUGCUAUGAAAAAAAAGUGAAUACGAGGAAAUAAAAAGGAGCAAGUGCCCGGAACCUCGAAGAAAAUAAAAAGUUAGACGAGAGAUAAAAAUGGACAAGUGUCUGACAGUAGAAUUAGAGGUACAAGAUACCCACCUGAGAGAAAAGAAAAAAAAUAUAAAGCAUUUCAUUCUCCUCAAAAAGCUUCAAAGUGCAAGAAAGGUAUGUAUCCCCUCAAACGAGCAAAAGUAGAAUUAGACUUUCACCAUUGUUUUCACCAUCAUCACCAUACAUCAUUCAUUCGCCACACAUGCACAUCUUGAUAUUAACUUAUUGACUUGUUUCUCUGGAUCCAUAGUUUGACUAUGCAAUAAAUGUCUUGUAAGUAUGUAUACUUUAUCUCCCACCUAUUAGCUCUAGAUAUCAAAGCCUUAUUAGAGUAGGAUGAGAGAGAAGGCAAUGUCACUAUGCCUCAUACCACAAAUACUACAUACUUUGAGAGAAGGCAUAUACCAUCACUGCCUUGGUAAGGAUCCAGAAAUACCACAAAAGAGAGAAUUGAGAGAGUCAUACAAGGAAUCUAUGAGUUUUAUUUUGAAAAUCUGCAAAAACUCCAGAGCUAUAGUUGAUCAAAGAACAAGAGACAUGACGCUUGACUUGACCAUUCUAUCUUUUAACUGCUCAAGACAUAAGUGAUGGUUGCAAGCCCCAUGGUGGAAGGUAAAAUGAGUAAGUUUUAAGUCUUAAUAGUUUACUCUAACUCAGAGAUAUACCUUGUUUGAAAGCAUGUGUACCGUCAACUUUCUAAGGCAUUGCAGCAACUUCUGAUCCAUCACUAAGUCUAUCCUUGCUCAGGGGCGAGCAAGAGGUAAGCUUGGGGGAGUUUGUUGACGGUCCAUAAGUACCAAAUUUAAUCAUCAAAUAAAUAAAGAAAAGGAUCUAAAUGCAACCAACACCCAGACUUAGGGUUUUAUCUAACAGAAUUUCACGAGUUUUGGUGUUUGUCUAUUUCUGCAGGGGGUUAUUAGGAAAUAUGUAGGAAAGGCCCAUACGUCGGGUUUACAUAGAGAUAUUAACAUGUGUGGCAAUUUUCUAUCAUCUAGAAGACUCUAGAAGCCACGUGAACGAACGGGAGGCUGAGCGGGCCCGGGGGCAGGGCACCCGCCUUGUUGUCUCGGUCAAUCAGGCCCUGCCUCGCGGAUUAUGCUCCACCGACCUAAAGGAUUAAGAAAAACCAUGCGAUUAAGGUCGGUUUGAUCCAACGGCCCACGUUCAUUUGGAAGGGCUAUAUAAGUAGGCCCCCUGGCCCCUGGAGGAGGCAUUCUCAUUCUCAAACCCUAAUUCAUUCAUUCAUCCAAGUAGGAGAGUCUCUGAUCAAGUCCUAGAGCCACCACAUCAACUAGAUCUCUAGUUUAGCAUAGCUACAUAGGAUUAGAACUAGAAGGAGUCAAUCUUCGAUUGGUUUCCGGAUCUGUCAAGAGGAUUCUUGGUAAUUCCUCUACUGUUCUUCAUUUGUUUAUCAUUAUUCUUCAAUAUUAUGAAUAUAACUUUGUUCUAUUUCAAUAUAUUGAUUAUGACUUUGCUCUACUUGUUUAUAUUUGCAAUUAUAUCGUUCUUAGUUUGUCAUGGUUAUAUACUUGGCUUAGUUAGAUUGGAAUUAUAUACAUGUUUAGGAUCGUAUAACAUUUAUCCAUUGGGUCCAUGGGUAAAUAAUAAGUAUUGUGUAGGCAUGGUGCCUAUACCGUAUUUAUCUGCGAUUGUACCUUAUAUGCCGGAUCGCGAGGUAGUUCGCGUUUGUGACAGCUCUGUUGAUUCUUAUAUAGUCCCCCUCCCGUGUAUAGGGCAGGCAGAGCAACAUUAUUACAGGCGAGUGAUUGCUAUGUUUCUCAUCUUCCUUGAUAAUAUCACUAUGCAUGGGCGUAGUCCUGUCUCGCAAUGAUUGCCAAGUAUAAUUGCACUAACUAUGAUAUGCUAGACUUUAUAGUUAAGAAUAACUUAGGAAAUGUUCUUGUAGUUCAUUCUAGUUCCAUACUAAUGACUUGCUAGAAUAUGUGUUGAGGUGCUUAUCAUUAUCAUAUGUGGCUAGUUAUGCUGAUCAGAUUAGUUAUCUUUGUCACCAUUCAUAUUUUAUCUAUAUUUUAUGUGACACUUAUCCCUGUAUGUAAGAGAUAGAUGAAUGCUCUCUAUUACACAUGUAAUGAUACUCGGUUCCAUAUUUCAUUCCAUAAUCAACAUUAGUGUUAGUAAUCUCUUUCCAAUGGUAAAAAUAUAAAUAAAAUUACCUAGAAUACUUUCCGAUUAAAAUGUUACAUCGGUAUUGAUCUGUGCGCUUGCAGAUCCCUUUUAUUAUUUAUUCAGAAGAGCAAUUGCGUAUUUCAAUACCGCGUCUCUCAUGUCAUGCUGGGGAUGACAACUUGGCUUAAGUGGCAUGAGGGAUAGGUUCGGCAUUUUUGGCGCCGUAAUCAGAAAUAGAAAACCAAGUCUACUUGACGUUAAGAAUGCCCAACAGCAGCCAAACCCAAUGACUCCCAUUUUUAGAGGGGCCUCAUGCAUAUUAAAGAUGAGGUGCUGGCUUAUGGUUCUUUUAGUAUUAAGGAUGGAACCAACACUAGGUUUUGGGAUGAUACAUGGGUAGGAGAUAAGCCACUCAAAGUGAAAUAUCCUUCCUUAUAUAAUAUAGUGCGGGAUCCUCACGCAACAGUCUCAAAAGUGUUAACUACUAGGCCCCUAAACAUCUCUUUUAGAAGGGCACUGGUAGGUAAUAAACUUAUAGAGUGGCUUAGUUUAGUAGCACGGAUCUCAAAUGUCGAAUUGGUGGAAGGUUCGGAUUAUUUCAGAUGGAGGCUAGCUAACCAAAUCUUGUCUAUUCUCUGUCCGCUCUUUGUAUCUCUAUAAUAUGGAUACACAAACACCUUUUCGUCAUAAGAAAAUCUGGAAGAUGAAAAUUCUUCUAAAAAUUAAGAUCUUUCUCUGGUUUUUGCAAAGAGGUGUUGUUUUAACCAAAGACAACCUCGUCAGAAAAAAUUAUUUCAGAAGUGUAUUUGCUGUAAUGGGAAUGAAACUAUCCAACACCUAUUCCUAGACUGCCCCCUUAUCAAGACGAUUUGGAGGAUUAUCUUUUUUGCUACUAGUUUAACCCAACCUAAAUCAAUCAACCACAUGCUAGGUGGUUGGCUAUCUAAUCAAAAUAAAAAGAUUAGAAAUCUGAUCUGGGUGGGGGUGGCUGCCAUGUACUGGGCAAUCUGGAGAUGUCGUAAUGAUGUUAUUUUUAAUCAAAUGAAAUCCAACUCCAUUAUGCAGGUAAUUUUCAGAGGAACGUACUGGUUAUGAACUUGGGCCCCGUUGCAGCAUGAUGAGACAGCCGCGGACGCACUCUCAACGAUGAGCAAGAAAUUAGAAGUAAUUGCUUUAGAGUUAUCCAAUAAAGGUUGGAAACAUAUUUAUUGUUUGAACUAGCGUCCUGGUUGAUCUAUAAGACUAAGGCUUCUCUUUUAUUUUUUCCAAAACUCUGUAAUAAUUGGCUAUGUAUAUCCUGGAUGUAGAGGCCGGAUACUUUUAUCCAUUAUCUAAAAAAAUUAACCAAGAUAAUCGAAUGAGGUGUCAUCAAGUUGGAGAAUGCCUUGGCACACUCUGCUUUGAAGGUUUCUAAGAUUUAGCAUGGCUGUAAGCAUCGGUAUCAAAUUUUCGGCAUGGACUGCCCGUGGUUGUUUUAGUUCCUGUCUCGCCUAUCAAGAAUGAGCUUAUUUUUAUUCUUUAGUUUUGUAUGCACCGUAAAUAUAAUGAUGCACACAACAUAUGGUUGUCAAAAUUCCAAUUCGUCUUAAUAAUCCUGGCAAAAAGGCAUACUCACAAGUCACAACCAACCAUUGGCAUCAACAUUUCCAUGACUUCCAUGUUUAAAGUCUUAUGAUUUGAUCUAACAUUGGUAACCUUGCAUUAAGCGCAAGUGUGAACCGGAUCUCUUGAUAUCACCGACGUGGCAAAUUAACUUGCAGUGUUGGACACCCCAGUUCAGUUUCCUUCUCGUUAAGUUUCCCUGCCUGAGAGUUUCACCAGUUUAAAAUUUUCACGUCCGUUUAAGGUUACAAAACAGAAAGACAGAAGUCAACUCUCAAAAAACAAAAACCAUAAAACCAUAAAAAGUACUGAUGAAUCACCUUCGUUUCAGCUGGGACCAGCGUGUAAGUCAUGACAUAUAUAUCACCCUUUCCUCCAUUCCAAAUGCUGCUCUGGCUCACUGGCUAGCUCCCAUGGCUGCCGCCGCCUCUCUCCACCCCAUCCACCUCCCUCUUCCCCACUCCGACUCCCACCCAUCCCAACCCUAGCCCUGGGCCUCCUCCGUAUGUGCAUUCUACCUACGUGCUCGGCUUGGCUAAUGUGGACUAAAUGCGCAUUCAUGUGUACUUGAAGAUGGAGUUUCUCUGUCUCUCUCCGUGUUCAAUCCAACCCAGAGGUGCUUGCCGUGGUGCUUAGGUCAGUCUCAAACUCUCAAUGCAUGUUUUAUGAGAGUGUCAUGCACAUUAAAUAGGGUGCCACAUAAGCAAAAUUGCUGACUUGGCAAGGUCAUUAAAUGAAGGAGUUUCAUUAGAUGAGAGAGGAGUUUCAUCUCUAUGAAACUCAUGUGGCUCGGUUACCUAGUUUAUAGUCUUGAUAACUGUGCCAUGAAACUAUGUAUUGAGACUGGCCUUAUGCGCGAGGCGUCGAGGACGUUUGGGAGUUGGGAUGCGGCAUUUGGUCCUUUCCGCCUCUCCUAGGUCUGUAUUCCCCAAGUGGCAAGAGCCUUUAAUUUUCGUUUCGCUGGAAAUUAACGUGCUGCACAUUUGGUUUCUCUGAACGUGGUAUAUGGUGUGUAUCUUUGGUUUCUCUGAACCUGGUAUAUGGUGUCACAGAGACAGGGUAGUUGGUGGUCUCAUAUCCUGCGAACCUAGCCUUGUUUAGAUUCAAAAACUUUUUGGAUUUUGACACUGUAGCACUUUUCUUUUUAUUUGACAAACAUUAUCCAAUUAUGAAGUGACUAGGCUUAAAAGAUUCGUCUCGUGAUUUACAUGUAAACUGUGCAAUUAGUUAUCUUUUUUAUCUAUAUUUAAUGUUUAAUGCAUGUGCCGCAAGAUUCGAUGUAAUGAGGAAUCUUGUAAAAUUUUGGGUUUUUGAGUGUAUCUAAACAAAGCCUUAGUUCUAAAAAUUUUUACAAAAUGGACACUAUAGCACUUUCGUUUGUAUUUAACAAAAACUAUCCAAUCAUGGACUUAACUAGGCUAAAAAGAUUCAUCUCACAAAUUACACCUAAACUAUGUAAUUAGUUAUUCUUUUUAUUUAUAUUUAAUGCUUUAUGCAUGUGCCACAAGAUUUGAUGUGACAGAAAAUUUUGCAUAAUUUUUUGGAAACUAAAAUGAAGCAAAAUGUCCUUUUCUGGCUAACCUGCCUAGCACAUGCUAAAUAAGGUACUCAUUUUAUACAGCUUUCUGGGCAGUGGACACGGGUGAUGGUGACACGUCAUAUAGUACAGAUCAAUAUAUGUAUGGUCGGUUUCAUUUUCUUCAGGUUGUUGAUGCCUUGCUUGCUCUGUUUUUUUAAAAAACCAAAUACUUCCUCUGCUUUGGCAGCCCAGUUAUACAAGAUAGCAGGUAGUUUAUACCUGAAGUUACUUAUAUCUUUCUGUAAUUAUGAGCAAGUUCUCAUAUUAACCAAUCAAAAAACAAUGACUAUGUUUAGAAAUUAAUUUUUUAAACAAUUACCUGGCUGAUUUGGUCAGAUAAAGCAGUUCCUGUCCAAUAUUCCAUGUAAUUAAUGAGCCAUAAACCACAGCUACAACUGUCCAUAUUCCAAAACAAUUUUAAAAAAUAUAUAUGAGAUAUAGAGAUAUAGUAGCUGGUUAGGACAUGAUAGAAAAAUAUUUUACCCAUCUUUUUGCAUUUGUUCAGCAAUCUUAUGUUUAAUCUCCCAAGUUGACACUUCGACACCGUGUUUCCAUUUCGUUUGGUCCAGUGGUGUAGAGAGCAGUGCAUGCUUUAUGAGUCUUUCCAUUCCUAUUAACUGGAUUGACCGACGCAUCAAAAUUAUUUAAGAAAGAGAUACCAAAGAGUUGUAAACAAGUAUGUGCCUCAGUCGUUUUUUUUGUUUACCGUGUAUAUUUGAGAUCUGUCCAGUUUGUCAUAUUUUCUCCAAAUGAGUCCAAAACAUGUAUUUCACCUUCUGAAGCAUUCACGACCGCUAGGUACCAGUGAAACUUUGUAAUGUUGAUCGGAAGAAAGACCUGCAGUAAUAUAGAUUUAUCUAAAUUAUUUAUUUACUUUUGAAAGAGUUUAAAAAAUUGCAUGCCAUUUUUUAUGGUGAAGCGUACCAUAUCAACAUCUAAAUAAUUUUGAACCCUUGUCUCAACCACGUCGUCUUGAGUAUAGCUCAAUUUCGUCUCAUCUUGCUCUCCGUCACCUCGUAGCAAUUGAGAAAACCAUGUAUUCUCCAAAUAAACAUAUCCACCUUCUCUAUGAAGGUGCUCUUCAUUCCGCAUCAAUUGUAUAUAAAGACUUAUAACCUGCAAAAUUUUCAUUUUGUCAAUAAUCGAUUGGCAGAUAUUUCACAUGGACAUUAUUAGUUAAUAUAGAAUCAGGUGUUAAACAUGCUUACAGCGUCAUUUACUUCCUGAUUCCCAGAAAAAGGCAAUCCAUGUCAUUUCUUUCUCCCCAGCAAUCACCAAUUCUAACAAGCAGAUGCUUUUCACUUUUUUCUUUCAUAUAUUGAAUUACCUCAAGAUCAUGUGGCGUACACUCAUAAUCUACAGAGAUAUUUAGUAGAGAGUAGAGAUAAUUAAUUAAUUCCCAAAUUUAAAGGGAAUUGUUUCAAUUGAUGAUGAAUUACCUUGAGGCAUGACUUGUGCCAUGUUUGAUUUCUUUGGCUUGUUAUACUCAUGAGCUCUUUGUCUUUUUGUAUCCGUGGCGUUUUAACGUCGUUAUCUUUGAACUGUACAUUAUUAGGCUCAAUUCUAAUGACCUGCAUAUGCAAUAUAAUAAAUAUAUAUAUUAUUUAUACUAUUAUAGAGAUAAUAAAGAUUUUGUACGCAGUGGUCGACAUGGCUCAAAUAUUUGAGGUUAUUUGAGUUGCUGGAGAGAUUGUUGCGUACGUCAUCCUCGUGAGCACGCUUCCGCUUCUUUUCUCCAUCUUUUUCUUGAUGAACUAUUAUUUUGCCCUUGCCUUUUGUUUGGUCAUCUACAUCUCUUUUACCUCGUUCUGGUACUUUUUGUUCUGCAAUUUAUUUUAAAUAAAUACAGUAACAUACAUCUAACCGGUCCUUAUUUUUAUUAAAAUAGCAUGAGUGUGUUGUGCUAAUAUAACUUACCAGAAAUAGGCAUUGGAUCAAUAUGGACUGUCUGUUGGCCUCUACAUCCUGGAACAUAAUUAUCAUUUCUGUGUAGCCAAUCUAUGGGCUCAACGGACUCAUCUGUAUCCACUGUUGUCGAUAUUUCAGCAUCAUUCUUGUUCUGCAUUUCUUGGCUAGAGUCUUGUUUAGAGGCUGAUCGCAUUUCCUUCUCGAGAACUAUCUGAUCAUUCUCGACAGGUUCGGUUCUUGCCUCAGUGUCUAGAUCUUUUUUAAUAGAUUCUGCAUUUGGAUUGGCAAAACAUAAAUUAAUUUAAAUUUGGAAACCAAACUUAUGAUUAUGUGAGAUGAUUAAUAAUGAAUUAUUGCAGUGGAGAUUCAGUGUGACUAAUAAUAUAGCAUUGAUUGAAGAGUGGUUCACCUGAGUGCAUGGGCAUGGUACCUUUUUCUUCGGGUGUUACCUCACUUGUCAUCAAGUUUGGACUAUUUACCACCUCAGGCGCCUCCACAUAUUUGUCAACUAAGGCAUGAUCAUGCUCCAUUUUUUUCUCCUAUGACUCCAAAAAUAAUAUGAUUUUCAACGUACAUAUAGAUAAAUCAUGGUUUAGGAUCUUUAGAUUGGUGACCAUACCUAUUGUCAAAAAAAAGAUUGGUGAUCAUACCUUACGUCGUAUUGCGGCUGACGAUGCCUGGACAAUGGUCGUGAAGUCAAGCACGUCGUAGUGCUGUUCGAGGUGUCCUCAAUCUCGAAUGUUCAAGGACUCUAAGUCAGCCGCGCGUUGUUGACUGUUCGUGGCGGCUAGGGCGUAUGAAGAUGCCAGGUGCGCCUGCAGCUAGGGCAUCAAGGGCUUUUUGGGCGGCGCGAUUCGCGUGCGAGCUGCGGCCACGCGUUCUCAUUACUGAUUAGGCUGGUGUACUGCCAAACUCAUAUAUUAUUAUACGGGCGCUAGAUUUCUUUUUGACAAGUUAAUUGGGCCAUGUGCCCGAGUGUGAAAAGAAUAGAAGUAUCGAGCUCUGUCCACUCUCCUUGCUCAAAAAAAAGAGCUAUGUCCACUCUCCUAGUCCUUCCUUAUCCACCCAACACUCCAACGUACGGACCGACCAGCUGCCGAGCUUUGAGCACCGGCCGUAGCUUCCAGGUGGGAGGCGCAUCCGGAGGUGGGGGCGGCGAGGGAAGCGAGGCGGGGACGCGGGGGGUCGGCGGACGCCUCCGCUGACUCAGUCGGCGGGAGCGGGAGGUGCGCGGCGCAGGUGAGCUAACUGUCCGGGCACCCAACGGUCGGCACCACGGCGGCCGCGGCGGAGGCGAACGGCGGGGGGGGGUGGGGGCGGGGACAUUUCUCAAUUUAUGUCGUUCUGGUAGGUUUUGGUAGAUGUAGUCAUAUGGAUCAUCAUGUGGCUGAACAUUCGCAGCUGCACCCUCUGGAAGCACGCAAUAUGACUCAUAGCGUUGACCUUGCGCAUGUCGCUGAAUGAAUCUGUCAUCAUCGUCUAAGUUUUCAUUGUGCAAUCCAUGUCCAUCUUCCAUGUCAUCUUCAUCACCAUCCCAACCACCAUUUAUUGGUUCAAAUAGUUCACGGUCAAAUUCUUCUUCAUCGGAGUGGACAUGUACAUGGUUCCUGUGUUGCGCGGGUAAUUGUCCUUCUGCAUAAACACAUUUAAUAUUAUCACAAAAAAAAAUAUAAAACAUAGUAUAGGAAAACAGAGUGUCCUUGAUGUGCAAACCUGUCUUAGCUGUAAUAGGUGGUUCCCUACGUGUAGGAACAUAAUUAUCAUUUUUGUGUCAUUUUUGUGUAACCAAUCUGUAGGCUCCUCAGAGUCAUCAAUUUGCACUAUUGUCGAUAAUCCAGUUCCCAAAUUCGCACUUGCGGUUGUGGACGGUUGAAUAAUUACUCCACCACUGUCUUGGUUGGCAAUGCUCGUGGUUUUAUUAUUUUGCAACUCAGCCUUCUGUCGUGCUCGAUAUUGAUGUUGGUACUGAGCAGCCUUCCUUCUCUUUUCUUGUAACUCUUCGUUGGUCAACUCAACUCUCCUCUUUCGAUGUUGGUUAUUUCUUGUGUCCAUCACUGUGUUAGCAGUACCUGCAUAUCCACUUCUGUGAGGUUAGUCAUCAUUGGGAUGAGAUAUGCCACAUGAAGCUAGGUAAUUGACAGUUACCGUUGUUCAAAGGUAGUCUACUUUCUAUCGUGGCUCCCGUGAGCAGUCCACCGUAGCUAUGAUUUCCAUCUGUAGUUGGCUCGGUAUUUGCCUCGUUCCUAAUAAAUGGUGAAUUUUGGUCUAUCCUAAAAUGCUGAUUACCUGCAUUAUAUUUGUUGCAGUAAAUAUUUAAAUGGAGUGACAUCUCGUAUAAAUUAUUGCAGUAAUAUAUAUUUGUUGCAGUAAUAUAUAUAUAUAUAUAUAUAUAUAUAUAUAUAUAUAUAUAUUAAAAUAGAGUGACAUCUAGUAUUUCUACUAUAAUUCAUGUCAUGUAUGCGAUAUUUACCAAUAGCCGUAGAUUCUGUAUUUCGGACGUGGUUGUUGUGCCGUUGCUAGUAUCGUUAUGAUCCCUAUAUGCAUGUGGUUGGAUAUUUUCCUUGUCCAAACAAAGUGCAGAGUUCUGGGAUUCGGCAUUCUUCCUUUGUCGAUAUUGACGCGAGUAUUCACGUUGUUUCCUUCUCAUCUCCUCCUUUCGUUCGUCAGACAUCUCGGCUCGACGAGCCCGUAGCCGCAAGUUCCGUUCUUCCCUCGUCCGUCGGGCAUCAUCUACAGAGAGAGAUAGGAAAUAAAUAUACACCCACAAAUACUAUACAUGUACCCUAUUUGGCAUCAUACCUGCGACGUUAGUGAUGUCACUUAGUGCACUGGGCGUAUCUCGGGCCGUCGACAUUGAGUAGGUGAGGAGGCAACACCUUUUGAUUUUUCAAAGGAUCGCGGUUGUCCACAAUAGAGAGUCGAUGUUUUCGAAAUCUGUAAAUUUCAAUAGUAGAAGUAUAAUAUAUAUUAUUUUUUUGCAGUAGUAGAAGAAGCACAGUGGAAUGCGCAAGUGGACCUGGUUCUUCACGAGGCGUUCAGAGACGAAGGAGGUCGACGGUCAUGACGAAGCCGACGUGAUGCAGUCAAUGCUUUGAAUUCCCAAGCGCGGCGAUCGUUGGAAGAAUGAGGUGGAUCGAGCGACGUAGCCGACCUAUCUGCGGAUCGCGCGACGUAGCCGACCUAUCUGCGGCACCAGCCUGAGGCGGUCUUCCACGGCUGGGAUCGGCAAUAUUGGAGGUUGCGCCCUUCCUCCACGGCCGGGAUCGGCAAGCUGCGGCACCAGCCCGACGCGAUACGGUGUUUGGUGAGUGUUGGGCCUUCCUCCACGGUCGGGAUCGGCAAGUUGCGGUCGCCCUUCCUCCACGGCCGGGGUCGGCAAGCUGCGGCACCAGCCCGACGCGAUACGGAGCUUGGCGAGUGUUCGGCCUUCCUCCACGGCCGGGAUGGGCAAGUUGUGGCAGCAGCCCGAUGCGGUUUUCUGCGAAUACGGAGUUACGGAGUUUUUCAUGGGAGUUUGGCGAGUGUUGCGAUACGGAGAUGACGCGAGUUUGGCGAGUGUUGCGAUACGGAGAUGACGCGAGGCGACGCGUGAGGGCGGAUGUAAGGUUGUGAUCAUACUUUUAAUCUGAGUCGUCUAAUCUGUAGGACAUAUGUUGUGAGUCGUUGAUCUUGCAGGUGAGAUUUGCCUGGAGAAGAUUUUAAUUAUAGUAGAGAUAAUAUCUAUUUGUAUAUCCCCUAAUAUUGAAGACACAACCUCUAAUAUCUAUUUGUAUAUCUAUUUGGUUCCACGGUUCAGAUUGUUGAUAUUGAAGACACAACCUCUGAUACUUGGACUGGUUUGUGAGAUUUAGGUUUGGAGGUCACGGCCGGGUACACUAGUGACUCUGAGCACUGAAGCAAGCACAGGCAACCACCAUGGCGGAGGCCGUCGUGGGAGUGCUGAUUGGCAAGCUAGGUGGAGCCUUGGCGAAAGAAGCAGCAACCUAUGGAGCAUCCCUGCUUUGCAAGGAAGCUUCAGCCCUCAAGGGUCUUUUUGGCGAGAUCCGCAAAGCCGAGAGGGAGUUGGAGAGCAUGAAGGCCUACCUUCGUCAGGCAGAGAAGUUCAAGGAUACUGAUGAGACCACUGGCAUCUUCAUCAAGAAUAUCAGGGAACUAUCAUUCCAGAUCGAGGAUGUUAUCGAUGAGUUCAUGUACAAGCUUGAGGAUGACAAGCAUGGGGGAUUUGCAGCCAAGAUGAAGAAGAGGAUAAAGCAUCUGAAGGUUUGGCACCGCCUAGCUCACAAGCUCCGAGAUAUCAAUGCUGAGCUUGAAGAAGCUGCAAAAAGAAGGGCACGUUAUGUCAUCCCGGGAAUGCAGGGACACUCUGGGAGCAGUGACCAUAAUGCCAGAUCCACCAAUCAGAAUUUGUGUCUUGCAAGGGAAGAUGAGGUAGUGGGUAUUGAACAUAAUGCAACGAAGCUGAAACAGUGGCUAGUGGGUGAUCUGAAAGAAAAGAACUACAAAAUAGCCACAGUGUGGGGAAUGGGUGGUGUAGGUAAAACUACUUUGGUUGACCAUGUCUACAAGAUUGUCAAACUAGAUUUUGAUGCUGCAGCCUGGGUAACUGUGUCACAGAGUUACCAAGUUGAAGACUUGCUAAAGAGGAUUGCAACAGAGUUUGGCAUCAUAACUGAUGCCACCAACAUGGAAAUUAGAACCUUAGUUGAGAUCAUCCGGAAACAUCUUGAAGGUAAAAGGUAUAUCUUGGUUCUAGAUGAUGUUUGGGAAAAGGAUGUAUGGAUUAACAAUAUCAUGGAAGUCUUUCCAACUAAUUGUACCAG
Molecule: long non-coding RNA, 26702 nt
Filed under: Sorghum bicolor (sorghum)
Lineage: Eukaryota; Viridiplantae; Streptophyta; Magnoliopsida; Poales; Poaceae
Description: long non-coding RNA (SBIC_LNC007813)
Source: RNAcentral